AGUGAACGCUGGCGGUAGGCCUAACACAUGCAAGUCGAACGGCAGCACAGUAAGAGCUUGCUCUUACGGGUGGCGAGUGGCGGACGGGUGAGGAGUACAUCGGAAUCUACUUUUUCGUGGGGGAUAACGUAGGGAAACUUACGCUAAUACCGCAUACGACCUACGGGUGAAAGCAGGGGAUCUUCGGACCUUGCGCGAUUGAAUGAGCCGAUGUCGGAUUAGCUAGUUGGCGGGGUAAAGGCCCACCAAGGCGACGAUCCGUAGCUGGUCUGAGAGGAUGAUCAGCCACACUGGAACUGAGACACGGUCCAGACUCCUACGGGAGGCAGCAGUGGGGAAUAUUGGACAAUGGGCGCAAGCCUGAUCCAGCCAUACCGCGUGGGUGAAGAAGGCCUUCGGGUUGUAAAGCCCUUUUGUUGGGAAAGAAAAGCAGCGGGUUAAUACCCCGCUGUUCUGACGGUACCCAAAGAAUAAGCACCGGCUAACUUCGUG
This 492-nucleotide ribosomal RNA is filed under the name uncultured bacterium. RNAcentral describes it as "partial 16S ribosomal RNA". It matches the Rfam family "Bacterial small subunit ribosomal RNA", at positions 29 to 507 of the family's 1533-position model. The record is from RNAcentral.